UGGGAGCACACAGGUCUGCAAGUACUACCGCAUUUCCAACUAACCCAGGAAGCGUUAAGCUGCUCUACGUGAAAUUUCUCCACAGCUUCAUUGCCCAGGUUUCUUCUCAGUUGACUCACCACUCCAGCAGGCUGUCAAGUCAGAGACUGAGUGCCUGAGCAGGCAUGGACCAUGAAGGAGAGGAAUCCAACACACCGAGGUUGGAGCCAGCCAGUCUGAGGAAGUCAGAGAUGGCAGGAAGAAAUGGUCUCAUUCCAAAAGGUGAUGUUUGGUUUUACCUCCUGAACUGGUGCUGGAGAAGAGACAUGGCCCAUGAAACAGCGGUGGACCUUUCCAAGCAGAACUAGAAGACAUUUGUCAGAGUUCCAGACAUUCGCGAACAACUCCCCAGAUUCCCUGAGCUUGUUGUUAUUAAAAGUAGGUUUAAGGCUGAUGAAAGCUCCCAGAUCCACGGAAGUCCACCUCACUGCCUUCCACCUAAAGGGUCCUGGCUGGCAGAAUUCGUCCAGAGUUUGAUUUCCUUAUCUUUCUGGAUCGUAAGUGUCUGUAAGUCAUACUCCAGGCGUCCUUUGAUGAAAAAUGCUGUUUUGUCAUUGUCCAAAGGCUGGCAAGAAUGUUAACAAUUGCGUAUGUUCAUUACUAUUAGAAAAUUGGUAAGGAGAGGCAAUGUUCUUUUGAGCAGAAAGGUCUAAUUCAGAGUGCCCUGAAUUCCCGGUAAAAAGCUCUCUCCACACCUAAUCGUCAUAGCACUAGAGGUCUUGAUCUAUUAGAUGUGAGCCCUGGAAAAAUGCCACUUAUUGGAAUUUUUGUUCCAAAUAACCAGAAUUAAGAUUAAAUGGAUAGGUAUGGACAUAAGAAAUCAUGAAGCAGAAUGUUGUAGUUGAUCACUGAUGAGGAAAUCAAAUGAAUCUGUUUAAGAUUCGUAUCAUCACUGUGUCUGUGGUCAUCAGUCAACAUGGAAAACAUUACUCCAAUGUUGUCUAAAUUUUAAUUGCAGAGAAUAUGUGUACCAGUAAGUAAAAACAUGUAGACCCUAUUCUUAAAGUAGGGUUGCCUGUUAUUAUAAUCUUUUAAUAAUAAAAGUUUUAGUUUUAGAAUGAUACUUUCUAAAAUAUUGAUGGUAGGCCUUUUCUAUUUAAAAGAUUAUAAUGAUUAAUCCUUUUUGGUCUAAUCUCCCAGGCCUCAAAAGUCUUUUUAACUGAAAAGCAGGCAAAGAUGCACUUUACACCAGACACAUAUCUAAAAAUUGGUAUAACUCAGAAAAUGGACAAAGGCAAAUCAUUAUUUGUUUAUUUCAGUAGCCUGAUGUGCAUCUUACAGAAUGUGGUAUGUGAAAGUAACUCAUCAAAUUGUGACUGAAUCACUAGAUUUCACCUUAUAUUAAAUAGUGUCUAAUAUAAUAUUUUUGAAAAAAUUCUGGUUCUUCUCAUACCUGUAUCAAUCUUUAUGGAAAGAGUUUAUCCAGAAUGUUGAGAAUAUGAUUGACAUAAAAUUAGAUAUAACAAAUGCCUGAUUAUUCAAAUUAAUGAAAGAAACUGACGGAUUAGAAACUACAAAGCAAGCCUCAUUUUUGGAUAGAAAUACACUGCAAUGUCAUUUUUAUUUUUAUCAUUUGCCUUCCUAAUUAGAUACCGCAUUGGGUGACACAAGAAAGUGCUUGUAUUCCCUGAAUGGUAGAAAAUGUCAUCACGAAGGCAGCAGGGAGAAUGUAGACUGGGCCGUCAAAUGGUAGCAUUCAGUCUAAAUGGUUCUCCUGUACUUAGAAUAUCACCCAUACUGAAAGCACUGACAGCAUCAUACUGAUCAGUUCAGCUUUCCAUGCCUUGGUAGUUUCAGACAUUGCAUGCUACACUUCUGUCUGGGCUAAGAUAAAUGUCCGUUAAUUCUCCAGAUGUUGCUAUCUGUUCAACUUUCAUCCAUGUGCACUUAUAUCCACGUCUGGAAAUGUUUAAAUAAAUGGUAAAAAAUUUUUUCACUUUCUUUCUGGAUAUCUCAGUGUCCUGGAGUCCUGUCCACAGCCAAUUUAUAUAUUUCUUGAUUUUCAUCAAAAUACUGGGAAUUCUUCCUCUUGUUGUAUAUAAUAACAUCAUAUCAUAACAUUAAAAACCGUUUUCAAAGGGUAGUUUUUAAACAUCCCAAUGAAGAACUGAUUUUAACUGAUGUGCUGAUACCUCCACCUGGUGGCUGAAGUGGAGAAUACAUCCUUCUCAUGCUGGGAACUAAAGACAAUUAAUUACUCAUUGGUGUUCUAUAAUUCAGCGACUUGAGCAUUUUCCAUGUGCUACCCGCAGUAAACAAAAUAUGAUGAGUAAAGUCUCAUUUUUGAAGUAAUGAUAAUAUAAUUAAUUUAGAAAUCAGUAUACUUACUGAAAAAUAUAAUUAUUACUU
Long non-coding RNA from Macaca mulatta (Rhesus monkey), 2388 nucleotides. Lineage: Eukaryota; Metazoa; Chordata; Mammalia; Primates; Cercopithecidae. The record is from Ensembl.